RNAcentral lists this ribosomal RNA (504 nucleotides) under uncultured bacterium. RNAcentral describes it as "bacterial SSU rRNA". It matches the Rfam family "Bacterial small subunit ribosomal RNA", at positions 28 to 536 of the family's 1533-position model. The record is from RNAcentral.
GACGAACGCUGGCGGCGUGCCUAACACAUGCAAGUCGAGCGGGGUUGAAGCGAGAGGUAACUCGAGCUUCUACCUAGCGGCGGACGGGUGAGUAACGCGUGGGCAACCUGCCUCAAGGUUUGGGAUAACAGCCCGAAAGGGCUGCUAAUACCGGAUAUGCCUAUGGCCUCGCAUGGGGCUAUGAGCAAAGGGGAAACCCGCCUUGAGAUGGGCCCGCGUCCCAUCAGCUAGUUGGUGAGGUAACAGCUCACCAAGGCGACGACGGGUAGCCGGCCUGAGAGGGUGACCGGCCACACUGGGACUGAGACACGGCCCAGACUCCUACGGGGGGCAGCAGUGGGGGAUCUUGCACAAUGGGCGAAAGCCUGAUGCAGCGACGCCGCGUGAGCGAAGAAGGCCUUCGGGUUGUAAAGCUCUGUCUGGAGGGACGAACAAAAUGACGGUACCUCCGGAGGAAGCCACGGCUAACUACGUGCCAGCAGCCGCGGUAAUAUCACGUGUACG